GACGAACCGUGCGAACGUUGUUCGGAAUCACUGGGCAUAAAGGGCGCGUAGGCGGCUUUUCAAGUCAGGGGUGAAAUCCGGCAGCUUAACUGUCGAAGUGCCUUGAUACUGGGAAGCUCGAGGGAGGUAGGGUGUGUGGAACUUCCGGUGGAGCGGUGAAAUGCGUUGAUAUCGGAAGGAACGCCGGUGGCGAAGGACGGGU
This 202-nucleotide ribosomal RNA is filed under the name uncultured bacterium. Its description in RNAcentral is "partial 16S ribosomal RNA". It matches the Rfam family "Bacterial small subunit ribosomal RNA", at positions 524 to 727 of the family's 1533-position model. The record is from RNAcentral.